UAGCUAAAUGCACCAGCUCCAGGCUUGCUAAAUAAUCUGCACAUGUACCAACAUCAUGCGUAAUGGGAUCCAUAUACAAACCUUUGGUAGGGAUAUUUGAGGUGACAUUAUGUACCUUGAAAUAGUGGUGGCAACCAACCUAGCAAUUUACAGUAAGCCAUGAAAAAAUGGUAUAUGUUUUGGCAGCAUACCAUAUGUAAAUAAGAAAACCACACAAUUCAUUAGUCAAAAGUAGUCCCAAAUGAGGCAACAAUGCACAAACUAGCAACAUAGACCACAUAAGCAUGCAUAUCAUCACAACAAUGUGAACAAUACAUCAAAGAGGCCAUCACCAGAUUGCAUUAUAUUAUGAUAACAUAUCACUAUCCUAUACUUUAGCCACCAAUAGGAAGACUUAGAGGAUAGUAUCUGCUAAAUAAAGUUUCGAGAGAUCAAUAUUUCAUGGUGCAACAGUGCUUUAUGAAAAAAAGAAAAAAUAUUAACUAAAAUCCUCAUCUAAGUAAAAUUACGAAUCAAAAAUUAUGUGCUCACAAUGGAUUAAUGUUGAUUGGUAGUAAAGAGAUAUGUUAAGGCUAGCUAGAUAUAAUUACAUGUUACCAUUUUGUACAUGAUCUUGUUUCUAGUCCGCGGUAAUGAUAAGAACUAUUAAUCUUAAUAUAAAUGUAACUAAAGUAACAAGUUGUAACUAUUUUAUUGGUAAAAAUGCCAAUAUAAUGAACACUAGCAACAAAACAUAGACAAAAUAUUUUCUUGAAAGAAUUUAGUAGAAAAGUUAUUCUUCAACACGAAUGCACACUAUGAGAUUGGACUUCUGAAUAAAACGUGUAAAUAUUGCAACUUGUGAAAUAUUGAAAGGAGAAAGCAACCAUCAUAUAUGUGUUACCUUAAUGUCUAAUAUGUGUGAAUAUCCCCAAGCACAAAACCCCAAGGCCUCGAGGAACUAGCAUUAUAUACAUAGAAGAAACUGUGAAUACAAGAGGAACUCUAAAUUCCUAUGUUUUAGAAAGGGAACUUUAGUUUGCUUGAUUUCUUCCUUGCACUAAGAAAAUAAAUAAAGUGGACCCAACAUGCCCAUAUAGGUAGUGUGU
This 1088-nucleotide long non-coding RNA is filed under the name Hordeum vulgare. RNAcentral's name for it is "long non-coding RNA (HVUL_LNC016602)". The record is from RNAcentral. Lineage: Eukaryota; Viridiplantae; Streptophyta; Magnoliopsida; Poales; Poaceae.